AGCACCGGAGAAGAAAUGUGCGUACAGUUCGGACGUUUGUCAUUAGAAUCUCUUAUUUUUAGUGCGUAUAUUUUGGCUAACUUUUUUAACAUUGUAUCGGUGAUCUCUUUACUCAUCUCUGAUGCAAGCGUAGGAAAUAAAUUCAAAAUAAGAAAUUUGUUUACCUUUUAUCUUUAAUGUAAUAUUUGGAGAAAAUUAAGUAUAUAUUAAGAUAGAACAAGCUGACAAAGUUUUGUGGAAGAAAACUGGGUCAUGAUGUAUACAGAAAACAAAGAUAUAAUUUUUGCAGCACUUAUGCAAUUGUAACAUUAUAAAGUAACCAGUUUAUAAACUUGAGUGGAAUAAACAUUAAUUUUAAAAUAUAAAACAUUUUUAAAAUAGUUAUAAGAAUUAAUUGUUAAUUUAUCCAACUUUAACAUAAUGCAAAUAGAAACAUGAGCAUUAGUUAAAUUAUGUAUGUAUUUAAAGUGUAUUAUCUGAUUAUUCUAUUUAAAAUCUCUACCCUGUAUAGAAUUUUCGAUAAGAAAUGCAUGAGAAUUUAUAAAAUAAGGUUAAAAUUACAUGUUCAUAAAUACUAAAUAUUUUGGAAGAUAUUAAUGGCACUUUGCACGAUCGGAUGACUAUUUGCACUACACUUUCUAUUAUAACUGAUUCUAGGAAAUUAGAAUACAUUUACCUAUAAAAAAUCUUCUGUAGAUGUUACUGUAGCUUCUAUAAGCAGGCCAAAAUCUAACUCAGCUAGACUAGCUGUAAAAUAUAAUUAAUUAAUAAUUAAUUAAUAAUUGGAAUAAGAUUUGUGGGAUAAUAAUAUAUUUGGUUCGUACCUUUUGCUGUAAGAAGAUCAAGAAAUGUGUCCAACGGAGAUAAACGAUCUGCUGAAGGAAAUGCUGCUAAACCUGUAUAUAAUUUAUUUAAUAAAAAGAUAGCUGGAAAUA
Long non-coding RNA from Bombus terrestris (buff-tailed bumblebee), 935 nucleotides. RefSeq lists it as uncharacterized. The record is from RefSeq and is a predicted model, not a curated record. NCBI's taxonomy places the organism in Eukaryota, Metazoa, Arthropoda, Insecta, Hymenoptera, Apidae. The transcript has 2 exons.